GCCCGGCCUCGGCUAGAAUUCAGAAGGGCACCGAAGAGGCGAAGCCGAAGCCGAUGGCGUGCCCCAGGCCGCCUCCCGCCUCCGCCGUCCGCGGCGUUCAUGCGGCUGCUGCGCGUGAGCGGCGCCCGCGACUCGUUGGAAUGAGUGGGCAGCCUGAAGCAAACGAUAAUAAGUGAAAUGGAAAAGAAUUUUCCAGGAGCAGAGCAAUGAAGUGCGGAAAGAGCUGUUGAAAUGCAGCAAAGGAUGCAAGUCGGCGGGCAACAACAAGCAUGGAUGCAAAUCCUUCCCAGUGUAAAAGAUCUACACUCUGCAUUCAUUUCUUUCUGAUUUUGGGCUAUAGAGUAUUGCAACAGAUUCCCCUCGAAGUGAGCACAUGCUGUAAACAUUUCUCUGCAAAGGCAGAGCAGAGCAGCAUUAUCUACCACUAAUCUAAUCAUCGCUAUGCUCCUUUCAUCUAAAA
Molecule: long non-coding RNA, 460 nt
Organism: Brachypodium distachyon (stiff brome)
Lineage: Eukaryota; Viridiplantae; Streptophyta; Magnoliopsida; Poales; Poaceae
Exons: 2
Source: RefSeq, a predicted model, not a curated record